This 23-nucleotide non-coding RNA is filed under the name Rattus norvegicus (Norway rat). The record is from RNAcentral. Lineage: Eukaryota; Metazoa; Chordata; Mammalia; Rodentia; Muridae.
UACAAUGGGGUGGAUGUUUUCCA